RNAcentral lists this ribosomal RNA (492 nucleotides) under uncultured bacterium. RNAcentral's name for it is "partial 16S ribosomal RNA". It matches the Rfam family "Bacterial small subunit ribosomal RNA", at positions 29 to 507 of the family's 1533-position model. The record is from RNAcentral.
AGUGAACGCUGGCGGUAGGCCUAACACAUGCAAGUCGAACGGCAGCACAGUAAGAGCUUGCUCUUACGAGUGGCGAGUGGCGGACGGGUGAGGAAUACAUCGGAAUCUACUUUUUCGUGGGGGAUAACGUAGGGAAACUUACGCUAAUACCGCAUACGACCUACGGGUGAAAGCAGGGGAUCUUCGGACCUUGCGCGAUUGAAUGAGCCGAUGUCGGAUUAGCUAGUUGGCGGGGUAAAGGCCCACCAAGGCGACGAUCCGUAGCUGGUCUGAGAGGAUGAUCAGCCACACUGGGACUGAGACACGGUCCAGACUCCUACGGGAGGCAGCAGUGGGGAAUAUUGGACAAAGGGCGCAAGCCUGAUCCAGCCAUACCGCGUGGGUGAAGAAGGCCUUCGGGUUGUAAAGCCCUUUUGUUGGGAAAGAAAAGCAGCAGGUUAAUACCCCGCUGUUCUGACGGUACCCAAAGAAUAAGCACCGGCUAACUUCGUG